Hordeum vulgare subsp. vulgare (domesticated barley) is the source of this 125-nucleotide non-coding RNA. Lineage: Eukaryota; Viridiplantae; Streptophyta; Magnoliopsida; Poales; Poaceae. The record is from Rfam.
GAUUUACUCCCUCCGUCCGGAAUUACUUGUCGCAAAAAUGGAUAGAAAUGGAUGUAUCUAUAACUAAAAUACAUCUAGAUACAUUCAUUCCUCGGACAAGUAUUUCCGAUCGGAGGGAGUACUUA